This 1646-nucleotide ribosomal RNA is filed under the name Escherichia coli. RNAcentral's name for it is "partial 23S ribosomal RNA". It matches the Rfam family "Bacterial large subunit ribosomal RNA", at positions 1292 to 2915 of the family's 2925-position model. The record is from RNAcentral. Lineage: Bacteria; Pseudomonadati; Pseudomonadota; Gammaproteobacteria; Enterobacterales; Enterobacteriaceae.
GAAUGCUGACAUAAGUAACGAUAAAGCGGGUGAAAAGCCCGCUCGCCGGAAGACCAAGGGUUCCUGUCCAACGUUAAUCGGGGCAGGGUGAGUCGACCCCUAAGGCGAGGCCGAAAGGCGUAGUCGAUGGGAAACAGGUUAAUAUUCCUGUACUUGGUGUUACUGCGAAGGGGGGACGGAGAAGGCUAUGUUGGCCGGGCGACGGUUGUCCCGGUUUAAGCGUGUAGGCUGGUUUUCCAGGCAAAUCCGGAAAAUCAAGGCUGAGGCGUGAUGACGAGGCACUACGGUGCUGAAGCGACAAAUGCCCUGCUUCCAGGAAAAGCCUCUAAGCAUCAGGUAACAUUAAAUCGUACCCCAAACCGACACAGGUGGUCAGGUAGAGAAUACCAAGGCGCUUGAGAGAACUCGGGUGAAGGAACUAGGCAAAAUGGUGCCGUAACUUCGGGAGAAGGCACGCUGAUAUGUAGGUGAAGCGACUUGCUCGUGGAGCUGAAAUCAGUCGAAGAUACCAGCUGGCUGCAACUGUUUAUUAAAAACACAGCACUGUGCAAACACGAAAGUGGACGUAUACGGUGUGACGCCUGCCCGGUGCCGGAAGGUUAAUUGAUGGGGUUAGCGGUAACGCGAAGCUCUUGAUCGAAGCCCCGGUAAACGGCGGCCGUAACUAUAACGGUCCUAAGGUAGCGAAAUUCCUUGUCGGGUAAGUUCCGACCUGCACGAAUGGCGUAAUGAUGGCCAGGCUGUCUCCACCCGAGACUCAGUGAAAUUGAACUCGCUGUGAAGAUGCAGUGUACCCGCGGCAAGACGGAAAGACCCCGUGAACCUUUACUAUAGCUUGACACUGAACAUUGAGCCUUGAUGUGUAGGAUAGGUGGGAGGCUUUGAAGUGUGGACGCCAGUCUGCAUGGAGCCGACCUUGAAAUACCACCCUUUAAUGUUUGAUGUUCUAACGUGGGCCCCUUACCGGGGUUGCGGACAGUGUCUGGUGGGUAGUUUGACUGGGGCGGUCUCCUCCUAAAGAGUAACGGAGGAGCACGAAGGUUGGCUAAUCCUGGUCGGACAUCAGGAGGUUAGUGCAAUGGCAUAAGCCAGCUUGACUGCGAGCGUGACGGCGCGAGCAGGUGCGAAAGCAGGUCAUAGUGAUCCGGUGGUUCUGAAUGGAAGGGCCAUCGCUCAACGGAUAAAAGGUACUCCGGGGAUAACAGGCUGAUACCGCCCAAGAGUUCAUAUCGACGGCGGUGUUUGGCACCUCGAUGUCGGCUCAUCACAUCCUGGGGCUGAAGUAGGUCCCAAGGGUAUGGCUGUUCGCCAUUUAAAGUGGUACGCGAGCUGGGUUUAGAACGUCGUGAGACAGUUCGGUCCCUAUCUGCCGUGGGCGCUGGAGAACUGAGGGGGGCUGCUCCUAGUACGAGAGGACCGGAGUGGACGCAUCACUGGUGUUCGGGUUGUCAUGCCAAUGGCACUGCCCGGUAGCUAAAUGCGGAAGAGAUAAGUGCUGAAAGCAUCUAAGCACGAAACUUGCCCCGAGAUGAGUUCUCCCUGACUCCUUGAGAGUCCUGAAGGAACGUUGAAGACGACGACGUUGAUAGGCCGGGUGUGUAAGCGCAGCGAUGCGUUGAGCUAACCGGUACUAAUGAACCGUGAGG